Molecule: ribosomal RNA, 528 nt
Filed under: uncultured bacterium
Lineage: Bacteria
Description: bacterial SSU rRNA
Rfam family: Bacterial small subunit ribosomal RNA
Source: RNAcentral
AAUAGAUACCCCGGUAGUCCAUGCCGUAAACGUUGGGCGCUAGAUGUGGGGACCAUUCCACGGUUUCCGUGUCGCAGCUAACGCAUUAAGCGCCCCGCCUGGGGAGUACGGCCGCAAGGCUAAAACUCAAAGGAAUUGACGGGGGCCCGCACAAGCGGCGGAGCAUGCGGAUUAAUUCGAUGCAACGCGAAGAACCUUACCAAGGCUUGACAUAUACGAGAACGCUCUAGAAAUAGAGAACUCUUUGGACACUCGUAUACAGGUGGUGCAUGGUUGUCGUCAGCUCGUGUCGUGAGAUGUUGGGUUAAGUCCCGCAACGAGCGCAACCCUCGUUCUAUGUUGCCAGCGGUUCGGCCGGGAACUCAUAGGAGACUGCCGGGGUCAACUCGGAGGAAGGUGGGGAUGACGUCAAAUCAUCAUGCCCCUUAUGUCUUGGGCUUCACGCAUGCUACAAUGGCCAGUACAAAGGGCUGCAAUACCGUAAGGUGGAGCGAAUCCCAAAAAGCCGGUCUCAGUUCGGAUUGAGGU